Molecule: ribosomal RNA, 761 nt
Filed under: Prevotella melaninogenica
Lineage: Bacteria; Pseudomonadati; Bacteroidota; Bacteroidia; Bacteroidales; Prevotellaceae
Description: bacterial SSU rRNA
Rfam family: Bacterial small subunit ribosomal RNA
Source: RNAcentral
GAUGAACGCUAGCUACAGGCUUAACACAUGCAAGUCGAGGGGAAACGGCAUUUAGUGCUUGCACCGAAUGGACGUCGACCGGCGCACGGGUGAGUAACGCGUAUCCAACCUACCUAUUACUGUGGGAUAACCUGCCGAAAGGCAGACUAAUACCGCAUAGUCUUCGAUGACGGCAUCAGAUUUGAAGUAAAGAUUUAUCGGUAAUGGAUGGGGAUGCGUCUGAUUAGCUUGUUGGCGGGGUAACGGCCCACCAAGGCAACGAUCAGUAGGGGUUCUGAGAGGAAGGUCCCCCACAUUGGAACUGAGACACGGUCCAAACUCCUACGGGAGGCAGCAGUGAGGAAUAUUGGUCAAUGGGCGAGAGCCUGAACCAGCCAAGUAGCGUGCAGGAUGACGGCCCUAUGGGUUGUAAACUGCUUUUGUAUGGGGAUAAAGUCAAUCACGUGUGAUUGUUUGCAGGUACCAUACGAAUAAGGACCGGCUAAUUCCGUGCCAGCAGCCGCGGUAAUACGGAAGGUCCGGGCGUUAUCCGGAUUUAUUGGGUUUAAAGGGAGCGUAGGCCGGAGAUUAAGUGUGUUGUGAAAUGUAGACGCUCAACGUCUGACUUGCAGCGCAUACUGGUUUCCUUAAGUACGCACAACGUUGGCGGAAUUCGUCGUGUAGCGGUGAAAUGCUUAGAUAUGACGAAGAACUCCGAUUGCGAAGGCAGCUGACGGGAGCGCAACUGACGCUUAAGCUCGAAGGUGCGGGUAUCGAACAGG